Molecule: long non-coding RNA, 11199 nt
Filed under: Salvia miltiorrhiza (redroot sage)
Lineage: Eukaryota; Viridiplantae; Streptophyta; Magnoliopsida; Lamiales; Lamiaceae
Description: long non-coding RNA (SMIL_LNC000458)
Source: RNAcentral
AUAAUUUUCCUUGCUCAUCAAGGCCACUCGCUUUAUAUAAGUUGCUACUUUUAUGUAGCUUUGCAUAUACUCACACACUCGUCUUUCCAAAAGAACAAUAUUCCAGACAUUCUCACACUCAUUUACGCAAAGCUUCAUUAUUUGCGCCACCACUAUAAUGUCUCUCUUCUCAAACUUGUUGAGCUGCUUCAAGGUUCCGUCGUCGUCGUCGUCGCCGCCGUCGCAGAAACAGCAUUCCUCGUCGCCAAAGAAAAGCAAGUCGCCUCGUGCACCUAUUCCCAUGUCUUACUUCCCCAUCAACUCUCAAGUCUCGCGCUUAUAGUCUCGUCUCUCCGGCCAGGUGUCAAAGUCAUCGAAGUGGGUCGUCAUGCUGGAUUAAUUGGCCUUACUCCACUCCUUCAAGACCUAUGAAUUUUUGCUACAUCUUAUUCUGAUGAGAAUCGGUGUCCCAUAAUUUUGUAUCAUAUUUUAUUACUUCCUCCGUCCACGAAAAACACAAAAAAUUCUGUGAAAUCGAUUUUUUUUAAAAAAUCACCUUCACAAUGACACUACUUCAACAUACAAAUGAUAUUUUAUAAUGAUAAAGUAUCAUUUGUAUGUUGAAAGUAGUGUCAUUGUGAAUGUGGUUUUUUUUUAAAAUCGAUUUCACAGGAGACCAUCUCCACGAAAAAUAGUCCUCCACGAAAAAUAGUGAUAAUAAAAGUGGACGACACGAGUUUUAAUAAAAAUGGUUAUUGUAUUGUGAAUGGAGAAAUGACUCCACUUAAAAAAUAGUGUUUAUAAUGAUAAUUAAUUAUAUUGUGAGUGGAGAAUAGGGUCCACCAUAUAAUAUAUACUCCCAAAAUAGCAAAAAUGGGAGUAUUUUUUAUGGACGGAAGGAGUAUUAUAUAUAUUAUUUCAAUUAUAUUUUUUAUGAAAAUAAACUUUAUUAUAAUAUUGUGGAAUGUGGAUUAUGCUUAAUUUUUAUUUACAAAAGUUAAAAUUUUAACAAAUUAAUUAUAUACCCUAACUUUGGAAUCUACUGUAUAAAUAUAGUAUAGCCUAGUCUAAUUAUUUCUCAAGCCGAACUAGAAUUGACAAAUGACAACUCUAGAAAAAUGUACAUUAACUUUUCUUUGUUGAAUUUGAUUAAUAACCUCCCUCCCCCACCCCCACCCCCAACACACACACACACACGUCCACACAUAGGGCAUGUUGUUUUAAGGGGAAUUACAUUUUUCAUGAUAACCAUUCUAACUAAUGCAUUCAUGUAAGAAUUAAUGCAUUCGAUGUUAAAAUUAAUGUAAUUAAAAAAAAUCGCAAUAAGACCAUUUAUAGAUCCUAGAUUAUUUUAAAUUCUAUUUAAUAUCAUGAUUUAAUAUGUCUUUCUACAUUUUUUUGGUAGAAAAGCAAAUGAAAUUCAAAUAAUUAUGUCACCUUCCAUUUUCAAUGAAAUUUCGAAUUCAUGUUCAAUGAAAAAUUCCUGUGAGUAAUUACAUUGUUGAUCUUGAAUAAAUGCCGACUGGCUGUGAAUAAAUCACAGUUUCCCAUGAACAAGACGAUACAAAUAAAAUGAAUUUUGCCCAAGUCAUUUUCAACGAAAUUCCCAUGUAUAAGGUUGUGAAUAAAUAUCAAUUGGCCAUGAAUAAUCACAAGCUCCCGUGAAUAAUUAUUUAAUUAAAAUUUUUCAUAAUUAUAACCACUAUGAAUCUCACUUAUUAAAGAAGAGAUGACAAAUCAAUUGUAAGAUUUAGAAAAUCAAUAAAUAUGACGAGUUCUUAGUUCUCACAGAUAUUUGAAAUUGUCACCUGAUUCUCUCUUAUAUAUGUGAUGUAUGUUGAGGUUCAAUUCAUGCCUCUGUUGCUAGGAGGUUCAGUUCAUGCCUUCUAUUGUUGCUAAGAGGUUCAACUCUAGGAGAUUCCAAUAUUUUACUAUUUGAUGCAUGGCUGCAAAGGGAGCAAUUGUGUCAAAUAUAAUCACAAAUUCAGAGAUUAAUUAUAUACUGAAAAUUAUCAUAUAUAUGUAGGUCAUACGUCGUUACUGGAGAAAAUACUAGUUGAAACAAAUUUUGAGAUAUAAGUCCGUUUGAACAGAAAUGAGAUUUUUGUCUAGUACUAAUUUCAAGAAGUUUAUUUGGACUACCAUUAUCGGCAAUUAUUUGAAUCACUUCACUGUCUAAUCUCUUCAAUAUUUAAUUAAUUUAUUUCACUUUCAUAUCAUCAAUAUAUUCAGUAUUUAACUUAAUAUUAAAAUAAAAUUCAAUAAAUUAAUAACAAAUUAACAUUAAUUAAUAUAUACAAUAUUUAACUUAAUAUUAAGACAAAAUUCAAUAAAUUAAUAACAAAAAGAGUGGAGCAAUCUUGUGGUCUCUUGAAGGUUGAGUUAACGGCUAUGGUCGGUUAAGUGAUGAAGACAAAAAUAUGCAUCCCUAAAAUACUGAAGAAAAGUAGUUCAGUACACGUUGGGCCUACAGCCAACAGCGCUGCUCCACCAUCAAAACAGCCCUGCGUGGCUCGAGACAUCGCUGCGAAGGAUAAGCAAAGGCCCAAUUAUGAGAAAAUCAUGCAGGCCCAUCAAUCUUUCAAGGCUAUCUAGGUUAAAGCCCACAUCGAUGUCGCCCCCAAACGAGACAAGCCUAAUUCCUCGGAGAUAGAAUCUACUCCAUAAAAAAACCCAUGAAGAUCGCCGAUAAGUAUCAAGACCGAAAGGAAUUUGAUUCCUAGUAUAACUCUUUCUUGUUAUCUAUAAAAAGGGGGAAAAACCCUAGUGUAAAUUCAUAGCCCUUCGCCGCUCUUGAUAUUCAUAGCUUCAUGCUUAAUACAAAGUUCGACGUUUUCAUCGUGUCAUUGUUUUUCUUUCAAAGUUUGUUACUACUAUUAUUUUUGGGCACAACAAGGAAUUAGAUUUUUUUUUUCUUUUUAGUUAAUUAACGAAUGGUGGUCAACCACCUCAUCAAUUCAUCAUUGUUAUUUUAGUCUUAUAUUAGGAGAAAUUGUUUCCGAAACAUUAGUUCUAUAGACAUUUUUAAAUAAACAGAAAUCAAAGAGAGAGAGAGAUAAAGUGAAGAACAAUGGUUUCUGAAUAAGUCAAUCCAGUGUAUCAAAAGGUCCAGUAAAAGUAAAUUAUCAAAUGUUUACAAAUUUCAUGAAAGGACUUUAGUGCUUUAAGUGGAAAUUUGGCCUUUUUUAGCCAUUCAACGUACGAAAAGCGUCUUCUAGGCUACUGAUGACAAAGAGUUUUCACAGUCAUUUUUAGGGUUUUGUCUUAGCUACAUCAUGCGCGCCACGCAUCGCCGUUUAGAUUGAAACACGUGUACUCCUAUAUUGACCAGCUUUAAUGUGUAUCGGACCGGGCCGAGCGGAUAAAAACCCGCUGGUUCUUUGUCACUCUUUUUCAGCAUAUUCGACUUUUUUGUCUGUUGGAUGCGUGGCGCUCUGGACGUAAGCCACCCGUCCCUAUCAGAAACCUAUUGCUUGCCUAGUUUUUUUGAAUUUGCGUAGGACACGUUUCGAUUUUCUGUGUGUUAGAUCUUGUGAGUGAUUGAUCGCGACCGUCGAUAUGCACGAUCUAGGGUUUUCUAUCCCAUUACUUUGACAAGAAAAAUUUAUUUCGCCUCGUCUUUGUUGUGAGCUUUCGAAGCUGUAUUCCGGAGCAGUCGGUUGUGCCAUGGAUACGGAAAGUUGUGAGAAAGUUGGUAUUUUUUUGUCUUGCUAAUAAUAACAUGUUCAUAUUUUUUUGAAAUAUGAUCUACGUGGAGUAGGUAGCUGCUAAUUUGCGGUAGAUUGUUUUAGAUAUGAAUUAAGUCACAACUGUCAUUAAUGAGUUUGUAGUUUUAGCUGUUAUUUUUCAGAAGUGUCGACAUUUCAUUUAAUAUUUCACAUUUGUCGCAGUAAGUGAAAACUAACAAGAUAAUGCUUAAAUAGUUCUGAAAACCAGUUAAAUUUUGUACAAAAUUUAAAUGAGAGACAUAUAUUAUUUGUGAGAUCUGAUUCUUGUUAGUGGGUAAUUAAGUUGCCUUUAAAAUAAUUAUUUUGUUGUUCAAUUUUAAACUAAAUUCUGAAAUUGAAGUUUAUUUUUUCUUUUUGGUGAAAAACUGCGGUUGAAUUAACAUCAAGAUGCGAAUUGUGGUUUCUUGGAGAGAUUCGUGGAUCAUUAGCGGAGGGAAACAUGUGUCUUUAUCGCCAGUCUUGUUUUGGCCACCUAUUGAACAUUUCAGAGCUUAAGUUUCAAGGAGAGUUGGUGAAACUACUAUGCAAUAGGCUACACUCGAACAGCUUUGCUAAGAAUUCCUUGAUUUUCAAUAGUUGAAUUUGGAAGUGCAGAUUUUUGUGUUAUAAGUGGCUUGAAGUUUAGCGGUGAUUCUUCUCUUCCAAAUUAUUCCAAAUUCCACGCGUCUGUGUUUCCCUCACGUAAUGAUUUGUCUAUUCGCGACAUCGAAACCGAAUUUCGAAAGGAGUGUGAUUUUAGCGGUGGCAAGUCCGCUAAGAGUUUGAAGCUAGCUUAUCUACUAACUAUAUAUGGUUUAUUGGUCUUUAACAAUGAAGACAGUGGAAAAGUGGAAUUGGGAUUUAUGCACUUGCUCGAUGAUGUACCGAAUAUGAUGAACAAUUUUCCCUGGGGUCUUGUUUCGUAUUAACAUCUUGUAACUUCCAUGUACCGGCUGAAGAGGGAGUUGGGUAACGUUGAGAAAGCUAAGAAUACACAUUCGUUGGAGACGUAUGGGUUUUUGCAUGCUUUAUAGUGUUGGUCGUAUGAAGUCAUUCCGAUGCUUGCCACGUAUUGUGCCUCUAUAAAUAUCGAGCAUCUGAAUUUUUUUCCUUGAAUAUGUAAGUGGGUGGUCACUCGGGAGUUGGAUAGCAAAGAUGUUGGUGUUCGUAAAAUUUUAUAGGCCGAGCAUGGAUGUUACCCCGUAAGAGAUUUUGUUUUAGUAUAUUUUUUAACGCCUUCUAUGUUAUUUUCGAAUAACUAAUGCCUCGCACAUGCAUCUUGCAUUGUUUUGUAGGUGCGUAUUUGUCUGCUGAACAGUGAAAUGAAGAAAUUAGGCGAGCUUGGCAUAACUCUCAUCAUGCAAGUUGCGUCUCCCGUACCUAUCGUUGAUGCAACAAACCACGUCGGACGUAAACUUGAUUUUGGAAAUGGUGAAUCUAGACCAGAUUUACAACGGAAGAACAUUCCUUGCAAGAGAAAGGGUAGACGCUUGGGUUCCUCUCCCUUGAAUAAUAAUUCAGGCAAGUCUUGUGAUGACGAUGAGUGUUCCAUUAUUGAACCAUGGGAGAUGAAAAAGCACAUGGCAAAAUUCAGUAAGCGUAAGUCCCGAUGUCAUGUACCCGAUGGCACACCUGCAAGCCAUGGCAAUUUGAACUCAAAAUUCGUGAGUCCCGACGGUGGAACUGUCGUUUUGGACGCAGAGGGCAAGGUAAGUGCAUUGAUGAGCUACUAUAUGUACAAAUAUUUAAUUGCCAACCUAACUCGCAUCCACGCAGGACGUUACAACGUUGUUCUUGAGCCUAAAGGGCCAAAUCAAGUGUUUGAAAGAGUUCAUGCAGUUGAAGUUCAAAGCUUUUGAAGAUUUAAUAGAGAGUUGCAAAGCAGGUGUCGGUUGUUCAUGUGCAAUUGAACUGGAGUGUGAGCGAAAGACUAUUCCGAUCGGUGCACCAAAUUCGAAGACGAUGGAUAGGGGAAUAGAUUGUGAUAACGAUGCCUAUAAAUCUUUUCGUGAAGAUGCAACACGGAAGACGUCAAGCCCAACCGCCGAUUGGGCUGAUGACACUUUUGAUUUAAUACCCAAUGUUAAUAGAGAUGAUCGUGUUGUAGGUCUUUGGAUGCACGAUCCUAACGACACCGACAUGGCGACUUCUGAACUGUACCGAUUUUGCUACAUGGACGCGCAAUCCUUUGAAGUCUAGCCGGUGAGAUUUACGCAUUAUAACUUGUUCGUUAUUAACUUAGUAAAUAUUAUUCUGCAGUAGAGCUGUAAUCAUGCGUUUUUAACUUAUAGGGAACAUUUGGUUAUACCGCCUACGAUAUUGUUAAAUACGCCGACGUGCCUUGGUUUAAGUUGUUGUGGAGGAAGGAUGGCUGGCUUGAUAACACGGUAGUUUCGUAAUUGUUUUGUAUUGGUUAUUGUCGUUAAUGUGAAUUCAUUUUGACAAGUGAUGAUCGAAAUUGUAUAUAUUUGCAGCACAUUGAUGCACUCAUAAACAUGCUCAUCAUAACUUUUGAUAACCAUAUCGGUGUGACUGUGAAGCGGCGGUGGACUUGCAUGGAGAUUCCAUGUUCGGUAAGAAUUUAUGGUGUUGUGUAGUUGUUUGUUGGAUUUAUGUGUUGUCCUCUUACAAGUCUUCCCUUUUUGGGACAUUGUGCAUGCAUAUAGCACGCAUUAACAAGGUCCAAUUUGUAUGAUGUUUUGGUUGUGGUGAUGCCUUACGUCUGUGGUGAACGGCCGAUAAGAGGCGGAUUGAAAGGGUGUGAUUCUAAUCACAUCUUUGGUAUCACCAAUAUCAAGAAUUGUCAUUGAAUAUUUUAUGAUGUGUCGUUGGAUGAGCAAUUGAUCAGGGUAUACAACUCAUUGGAGCAUAAUUGAGAAGAUGUCGUCUCACACUUUGCCAAUAUGCGCAAGAACCUACCCAUCGUUUGCAGUUUUGGUGGUCUUUGGGAGUCCUCAAGUCUGAAACGUAAACCGUUGAAACCAUUCUGGAACAUUGAGAACUUCGCCUCAGCUCCAAAACAAAUUAAUCAGAGCGACUGCGGUAUUAUGGCUAUGAAAUAUAUGGAGUGUUGUGCUUACAAUGUUUCGGUCCGGAAAUGGAUCCUAGUCGGUGUGAAAUUUCUCGUCGACGUUACUGCGCGAAGUUGUUUCAACUUUCGGAGUGGCUAAAAAAUACCGCAAUGGAAUGAUUUGCUUGGUCAUUUUUUACUUUUGCUGUUGCACUUGUGCGUAUACACAACUAUGUUGAAGUGCUUAAGUACUCCGAUGUGCUUCGUUUGACGGUUUUAAUGUUUGUUUUUUGGAUGCUUUUUUCCAUUGCCUUAAGUACACUGCGGAGAUAAUGUAUGUGGAUUUUUAAUGCAUUACAUUAAAUUGUUGAAUCAAUUGAUGAAUGUACCUCAAUCCAUUUUUUGUGAAACAUUAUAUUUUUGUUUAUUGUGUACCAAUAUUUAAAUGUUUUGGAAAAAAUUUAUACAAUCGAAAUAGUCUAAUUGUAUACAUAAUUUAAAUCCACGUGAAUAAUUUUUUCAUAUAUUAGGUUUACUUCAUUAUAUAUUUUUUGUUUGAAUAGUGCUAUAUAACUUAUACAAAAGAGUAAUUACGCAUUGUCAUUAUGCUUCGUAGAUGAAUUAUUAAAGCGCUCGAUAUUAUAGUACUAAGUUGACGUCGACGAGAGCAUGAUAACAUGAUGGUCGAGGAUGAAAAAUUCUAUUACAGAGCGCUAGGAACAACCGUCCAUGGUCGAGGAACUACUGAACUUGAAACCAUUGUACUCCUAAUAACUGAAGCCUGCCAUGAUAAUCAUAAUUUGAUAGGUAAUUAAACACAACGACGCCAGAAUCAUUAAAUGAUUCAGUGUUUUUAAAUUUGACUAGCAUCUUCACCAAUUCUUCAGAUAUCCAUAAUUUGCUCUGGUGUAAUGUCGAGACGGGUGAGUUCAAGGUGGACAUGAGUUUGACCGCAUAAAUCGCACUGCACGUUUAAGUUUGUAAGUUCAUAAAAAAAACCCAAUGAUUUAUCUUUAUAAUGACAUAGUGUAAUUAUGCUGGUUAUCUAUAAAAAUCACUACGCGUAAUCGUACCUCUGUGUUUUUGAAGCACGAAUAACCGAACACGCGAUCACAUGGUAAAAUGCUGCGGUCGAAGCAUAAAAUUUAAAACGCAUCGUCGUUUUUAGUGAUUUGUCAUACGAUCUGCAAAUUGCAUAGUUUGAUUAAAUGAAAGAAUGUCAUACCUUAUUACGUGGUGACCAGCUGAUUGCGUAGGGCGUUGACAGAAAUAACAUUUAAUAUUAAUGUCCGUCACCGGAGUGCUUUGUUGCGAUGAUUGUUGUGGCCUGACUUCGACCCUACUUGGUUCUUUAGCAUUGGCGUGUCCGGUAUCCUUAGUAAGUGAGGUUACGCUAGCAAGUAGUUCUGCCGUGGUGCAUCCGAAAUCCUUUAUAAACUUGUAAUCUGUCCAGUAGUCCUCCGUCAUCGAUGGGUUACACCUGCUCUCGAUCCACUCGCGCCAAUCGUCGACUGGUUCGUUGUCGUGGUCCAUUGACGUGCCACAAUUUGUUUCUCUUAUUGCUUUGUUAUUGAGGUGUGCUUCUGGAUAUAUGGUCCACGCUUCAUAAACACAUAUUUAUAGGGGUUUUAUCCCUGGUGCACUUUGGUAAGCUGCAUGCAUGACAUCUAAUUGAAUUAGACGUGGCAAAUUCCUGACCACACUGGGUUAGCUUCGUAGUGGUAUCUUGCAGAUAAUAUUGACAUGUGAACUAUUACUAUGCAUUCAUGUGACCCUGACGAUUAUUCUCAUGCAUCGCGUCGAUGACCUCGGGCACGCUUUCAUUGGAAUAAUUUCGUCCUCUUCGUUGUUUUUUGUGAUUCGAAAAUGUUGGAUAACUUUAUUGAUGGAGUAUGACGACCCAAAACAAUUUUUUUAAUCCUUAUUGUAAUUCGAAUUCAGGGAAGAAAGAACUAAUUGACACAAAAUUUAAACGAUGCCUACCGCACGAGUAUUUUAAAUUAUGUAAAGGUAAGCGGUGUUCUCAAAAAUAUCAUUUCCAAUAUGUUCUCUGAUCUCCUUUGAUUUGGGAGAAUUCAAGUCAAGCACGCAAUAUUUAUCCGUUAGCUUCAUUAAAAUAAAUAUAAAAUAAGAUAUAGAGAUGCAUGCAAAUAAGAUAUACAUUAUCGGAAUUACACAUCCAUAUAGGAUGAUUGUACAUCCACCAAACUCAUUCAAGCGUGCCAUCAAGAAUAGUUUGAAUCAGUGUAUGAGUUAGAUUAAUUAACUGUAAUAGUAAGAUAUCAAUAUUAAAUUAAUAAUUAACUCUAAUAAAGAUGCACUCUAAUAGAAUAUAGUAUUACUAAAAUAUGAAAAAUAUUACUCUUCCACAAUUCAAGCGUGCCAUAAAGAAUGCUUCACUUAAAAUUAAUUAAAUCUAAUAUUAGAAUAUCAAUUCAAUAAAAUAUACUUCCUCCGUCCACGAUUUAAUGCCCCACUUUGAUGUGGGCAAGGAGACUAAUAAAGCUGAAAAAGGUGAUGUGGAUGAAAUAUAAUGGUAGUUGACUAAAGUGAUAAAUGUGUUGUGAGUGGAUUCACUAGUGAUAAAGUGAAGUAAAUAUAGAAUAUAAAAAUAAUAAAAGUGUUUAAAGGUGGGGCCAUUAGUGGCAAAAAUAGAAGAAUUUUUUUUUAAAAGAAAAGUAAAAUGGUACAACAAGCAGAAUAAGGCAAUAAAUUGUGGACAGGUUUUUAAAGGCAAGUAGGGCAUUAAAUUGUGGACGGAAGGAGUAAUAAAAAUCUCUGUAAAGAUGCACUAUGUAUUAAGGAACAUGCCAUUCUCUAAGCGGAGCAGUUAACAACAUGGCAAUAUUACCGUAUAAAUAUAAAUAAGUCUUAUUAUAUAACAAGAAAUUAAACAAUUAUAUUUUAUCCAUGUCCGAUUCAAGAACAUUAGCCUGAGUUAGUUAAGAGAAAACUAUUUUUUGGUGAAUGCUUCGGAACAUACAUAAUUUAUUUUUUUUAUCUUUUGAUAUUAGUUAUGAUUCCAUAUGCAUUAUUUGCAAAAUAUGAGUUUUGCCCUUUUUGUUUUCGGGAAUUAAUGAGUUUUGCUUAGUUUGUAAUGCGUUAUUCUAUUUCGCAGAUAUUAGGGCUUCCGGGAUUCCAUCGUUUGUUGUGUCGAGCACAGCUGUGUUGUCGAUGUGUAAAGGAUAAAACAAAAUUUAAGAUUACAAUUGACAGCCAUAUCUCUGCCACUCUGUUGCAAUUCAUUAACCUAUGGAUAGUGACAAUACAUAAUCCUAUGAGAUCUUCAAAAUACGUUUCGUCGUUUCCGCUGGCGAACGGAUAUUAUCAUUCGAUGUUAUAAUUUUAUAAAUUUCCAUUGAAAUAAAAAAUUCAGUCGCACCUCAAAGCCUUAUAAAACACCCAAAUUAUAAUUCAAAAACAAUUCGCAUUACGUGUACUUUGUUGUCGAAAAAAUUAUAAUCCGCUGAACUUAUCGUCGAACAAAGGAAUCUGUUUUUUGGCGGUUUCUUGAAAAUUCGAAUUUUCCUCAAUAUUGGAUAUUGACGCCAAAUCGUAGAGUGGUUGUCAUAGCGUAUCUUCGCUUAAUCAAUAAACAAAUCUUUGACUUCCUGCUGUGCAACAAUUGCCAGUCAUGAAUAUCUUGCCUUUGUGUGUUGGUAUUGUUAUUUAAAAAAUUAUUUUAGUUUUUAUUCGAGUUUUUUUUAGAAAUUAUGUUAUCUUUAUUUGUUUCAAAUUAGUUGGGGAUUCUUCUAAAAAUAAUCAUAGAUUUGUUUCCACUAAUAUAGAUAUUCUCAUUCUCCACAAAAUAAUUCUAUAUUUGAAUCCACUAUUUUAGAGAUUCAACAUAAUUUUUCCACACAUAUUUUGUUUUCCGAAAUUUCUGUUAUUUAUAUUUUGUUUUUAUUUUUUUUCGAAAAUUGUGAUUUUUUUCCUUACUAAUUAAUCCAAAAGAAUUAAGAAUUCUGUCUGUGUCGCACGACAAUCGUGCAAAUUAGAUUAGUGAUGAGUGAUGAGUGAUCUCACUAAUCAAAUUAACAUUCUUAAGUUAUAAUUAUAAGAUUCUUAAUAAGAAUCUUCAAUUCUUAGUAAUAGUAUUAGAUUAGUGAUGAGUGAUGAGUGAUCUCACUAAUCAAAUUACAAUUCUUAAGUUAUAAUUAUAAGAUUCUUACUAAGAAUCUUCAAUUCUUAGUAAUAGUAUUAUAUGAGUGAUGAGUGAUGAGUGAAUCACUAAUCAAAUUAAUAGUAUUAAGUUAUAAUUAUAAGAUUCUUACUAAGAAUCUUGAAUUCUUAUUAGGAAUCUUAGAUUAGUGAUGAGUGAUGAGUGAAUAAUCUUGUUAAGAUUCUUCAAUUCAAGAGUAAUUAGUUGGGAUUCUAUUUAAGAUUCUUGAUUCCAAACUAGAUUAGUAAAUAAUUUUGGUAAGAUUCUUCAAUUAAUUAGUGAAAAAACCAAAGGAAAACGAAAAAAAUAACAAAAACAAAAUGAACCAAAGGAAAAAAAAA